Molecule: non-coding RNA, 194 nt
Filed under: Sediminibacillus halophilus
Lineage: Bacteria; Bacillati; Bacillota; Bacilli; Caryophanales; Bacillaceae
Source: RNAcentral
UGAUUCUAUGCAAGGAAAGGUGACACCUUUGUCUUAAAAGGGAAUCCGGUGAAAAACCGGAACUGUCCCCGCAACUGUAAGUGUGGACGAACGAGAAGUUCCACUAAACCGCUUUGCUUCACGGCACCGGUUUGGGAAGGUCUCUAGUAGGCAGAAGCACGAGUCAGGAGACCUGCCUUUUCUUGUAGCGUUUC